GCUAUAGCCUGUAGAUGGCAGCAACGUGGCGUAUCAAUCACAGUGUCUGGAAGGAACCACAACGAAGAAGUCACGGACAUCGAAGAAGAAACUCGUUUCCCUCCAUGGAUCAGAUGAUUGAAUCUAUUUAUCUGUUCAAUCUGUGGAGAGAUGGACACAGUUGAAGGUGUUCAACAAGCGCAGAUUGAUUCUCCUGCUGCCCAUGAUCCUGAUGGGGUUGAUGUCACAUCUUGGGUGUCGGUCUGUCCGAGAGGCCUCUGGGCGGUCCAGAAGACGCUGACGCUCUCAGGAAGCCAUCAGAAAGUCUCGAAUUCUGGAGAAGGACUGUCGUCCGCUAACAAGCCAAGGUUGGGUUCACUGUGUCGUGUUCGUGUGUGUGUGACGGAUCAAGCUGAAACCUCGCCAUCUGUAAAAGAAGAUGAGACCAAGCGAGGAGUUCCACUUGAUUUUCCAGAAGCGACUGUACUACAGCGUCAGCUGGACUCUGUCCUGCAGAUACCACUAGGUGAAUGGACAACAUUUCGACUUGGAGAGGGUCAUUGUGAUGUUACAGAAGUAUGUGUGGAGGCCAUGAGAGCUGGAGAGACAUGUCAGAUUCGACUCAUUCCGGCAAAUGGAGUUGACACAUGGCAUUCCCGGCCCACGGAGGAAGUACGUGCCACUGUGGAGCUCCAAGCUUUCACGCCAGGAAAGGAAUCCUGGCAGAUGUCACCUGGUGAAAAAUGGGAGUGGGUGAGGUCCCAUAAGGAAAGAGGCGGUCAGAGGUUCCGAAGCGGAGACUUGUGGGGAGCGUCGGACAGCUACAGUCGCGCCCUCAAACUCGUCAUCACCCUGCUGGGCUGCGAGGCGGACAGACAAGAACAGCAAAUCGACGAACAAAGUACGGCAGCCUCUGAAGAUCCACCGUGCGCUCCCACGGUUCAUCAAGUGCAAAGCAUGAAAGCAGAACUUCACUCCAACUUGUCGUUGUGUCAGCUCAAACUGAAGCAGCCAGCGCGGGCUAAAGAAAAUGCCGCUAAGGCCACACGGCUGGAACCAGGCGGGGCUAAAGCUUGGUACCGACUCGGCCAAGCCUGCCAGAUGGUGAACGAGCUGGAGGAGGCCCGGCUGGCCUUUCGAGAACUGCUGAAGCUGCAGCCGGAAUCCGCGGCCGCCACGAAGGCUCUGAAAGAAAUCACAAGUCGAGAAAGGGAAACAAAUGCACAGCUGGGACAGAGACUUAGUAAAAUGUUCAACUAGAAAGCAGGAGAUACGUAUGACUGCAACGUGUCAGCCAGACCUCCCGCUGACAUCUCCAGAGGGUUCAAAAUGCUGAAUGGCUACCCUCUCACUUAAUUUAUUUAUUGUUGUUAAUCUUAAAUGCCUUAUCAUUUGAUUGUGGUUUCAAUAAAAAGGAGUUGAGUUUUGUGUUGUUGAGAAGCCAAAAUAA
This is an RNA transcript of Syngnathus acus (greater pipefish), 1429 nucleotides long. It is a transcript of the gene named FKBP prolyl isomerase like, with no coding region annotated. The transcript is spliced from 5 exons. Lineage: Eukaryota; Metazoa; Chordata; Actinopteri; Syngnathiformes; Syngnathidae. The record is from RefSeq and is a predicted model, not a curated record.